GAUGAACGCUGGCGGCGUGCCUAAUACAUGCAAGUCGAGCGAACAGACGAGGAGCUUGCUCCUCUGACGUUAGCGGCGGACGGGUGAGUAGCACGUGGAUAACCUACCUAUAAGACUGGGAUAACUUCGGGAAACCGGAGCUAAUACCGGAUAAUAUAUUGAACCGCAUGGUUCAAUAGUGAAAGACGGUUUUGCUGUCACUUAUAGAUGGAUCCGCGCCGCAUUAGCUAGUUGGUAAGGUAACGGCUUACCAAGGCAACGAUGCGUAGCCGACCUGAGAGGGUGAUCGGCCACACUGGAACUGAGACACGGUCCAGACUCCUACGGGAGGCAGCAGUAGGGAAUCUUCCGCAAUGGGCGAAAGCCUGACGGAGCAACGCCGCGUGAGUGAUGAAGGUCUUCGGAUAGUAAAACUCUGUUAUUAGGGAAGAACAAAUGUGUAAGUAACUAUGCACGUCUUGACGGUACCUAAUCAGAAAGCCACGGCUAACUACGUG
RNAcentral lists this ribosomal RNA (497 nucleotides) under uncultured bacterium. Its description in RNAcentral is "partial 16S ribosomal RNA". It matches the Rfam family "Bacterial small subunit ribosomal RNA", at positions 28 to 507 of the family's 1533-position model. The record is from RNAcentral.